Molecule: long non-coding RNA, 1610 nt
Organism: Symphalangus syndactylus (siamang)
Lineage: Eukaryota; Metazoa; Chordata; Mammalia; Primates; Hylobatidae
Source: RefSeq, a predicted model, not a curated record
CCAGCCUCGCGCUAGGCGCCGAAGGGGGAGGCAGGUAGGAAGACACCCGCUACCGCCUGCUUCAGUGUCCCGAUCUAAAGGGAAGAAACCAAGGUCCCCAGGACACCCAGCUGAGUGGCGGAGGUCGAACUCGAACUCGGGACCGAGGCGGAGGGCGUCCCGGCUGGUGCUGGAGGGGCACGCGGCGUGCAAGUCCCCGGGCGCCCCCAUUCCGCCCAUCCCCCGCCCAAUCCUCAAGAAUGUGCGGGAGCCGGGGCCGGAAGCGACUGCCCGCGUCCCCAACUCAGCCAGACGCUGGGGCGCAGGGCGGACGGAGCGGGCCCAGCUUUUCCUUAUAAGGCCCGGCCCCGCGGGGAGGAGCCUGGCUCGGGACGCCCCCGUUCUUGCCACGAGGCCAGCGGGGGCCGGGCCGGCGCGCGGGGCGCAGUAAUGGCGGGCGCCGGGUGCUGGAGGAGCCGCUCCCGGGGUCGGAAAGGCUUCGAGCGGCACCGAUCCUGAGACCGGGGCAGGUUCUCAUCUGUCCUUUCCCAGAGAUUCAACCACUGCUCCAGCUUCUUCUCGGAAACUCUUUUCCAGCGCCGCCUGAGCCUCGCAUGAGAGAGGGAGGUGGCGGCUGAAGAACCCUGAGCCUGCCUGUGGACACCUUGAGAUGAGGAUGCGCGGGAUCCUGGCCUGGCAUUCCCUCUUUUUGGACCGCGCUGCCUCUACGACCCCCACUGGGACUUGGACUUCCUGAGGGGAGGUCAAACUGCCUGGUGGGCACCUUUGGAAACCCAACCCCAUCCCCUCCAGGCUGCACACAUCCUGCGGUAUAGGAAGGUACACUGUGUCUUCCGAUUUUUGGAGCCAGCUCUGCUGUUCAGACCUCCUGAAGCCAGGUGUCCAGGCACCCAGCACCUCCUGCCAAUUCAUACAGAAUUCAAUUCCCCACCUGGAAGGGCUUUCAGAAGGUGACCUGCCCAACCUCCGGAUUUCAGGCAAACUGAGAGGAUUGGAGACGGCCAAGGAUUUGUCACCAAGCAAGGAGGAAGCCAAAGACUUAGAGGACAGAGAAGGAUGUAAUCAAAAUCUUCGUCAUCUCCAGCUUCCGAAGCUCCCUUCCAAAGUGCCCUCAAGGGCCUGGAACACUCUCAGUGACAGAGGCAAGAGCCCCAUCUUGCCCCAGUGCUGCCCAUCAAAAUGUACCCCUAAAUCCUGGCCCAGCCUCCCAGCGCAGAUCUCUCCUUCCUCCUGUAGCCCCAACUAAUGUCUGUCUGGAAUUUGAGGGGCCCUGGUCUGGCACACUGUGGAUGCUUAGUUAAUGUAUGGUGACUGACUAAUGUAUGGCCCCAGGACUGCUCCCUACCUCCUGUUGAUUCAUCUUUCAAUCAUCCCUUCCCUCUCUUCAGAACAGUCACUUGGGAAGUCACCCCAUACAGUGCAUGGGUGGGGGGGCGGUGAGGUUUACCGCUCCACACAGUUGGGGUGUGUGGGUCCCAGCCUGUUCAAGUCACCGCUUGCUCCUCCUCCCAUCCUGGUAGGCUCAGAGGUGUCAACCUCCCAAUCUCUGCCUGUUAGGAUCCUUGCCUCUUACCUAGUUACUCUGUCUGGAUUAAACCUCUUCAAGACUG